This is a long non-coding RNA of Perognathus longimembris pacificus (Pacific pocket mouse), 1643 nucleotides long. RefSeq lists it as uncharacterized. The transcript has 5 exons. NCBI's taxonomy places the organism in Eukaryota, Metazoa, Chordata, Mammalia, Rodentia, Heteromyidae. The record is from RefSeq and is a predicted model, not a curated record.
GCUGCCAGCGGGGAGCGCCGAGGGGAUCCAGGUCGGGGGUCACGGACAGAGGGGGGGUCCCCAGCCGCCACACCACCCACCCACCGCAGUUCACUUAGGAGCGGGCUCCUGGGUGUCUCUGGCAGGGCCUCGCGGGGCCCCGUCCAGGGCGUCGAGGACAGGAGAGCGGGAAAGCAGGGCAGUGCUCGGCCGGACGUCACCCCGGGGGGCCGCGCCCGCGGGUGGCGGGCUCCAGAGGGAUUUUCGCAGCAAGGAGGCUGCAGCGGGCCCAGCCUGCGGACGCGGCCCCCCUCGCGGCACUGCGGCCCAGGGGCUGGCGCGGAGAGGGCCCACAGCGGGCUUGCUCGCGCUGUACGCCCUAACCGCUCAGCCCCUGGGUCCGGCACGGCAGACAGGACAGCACCAGGGGAGUCAAGGGCACGGGGCGAAGCCAGACCGGGCGAGGCAGGCGGGGCAGCGUAAGUGCAAUCUCUAGGGAGGGAGGUCGGGGCGCAGGCAGGCGGGGCGAGGCGAGGCCGCGGGUGGCGAGCGGCGAGGGACCGGCCCCCGGAGCCCGCGGCCAAGGCGGGCCUGGCGGGCGGCGACAGAGAAGGGACCGGUGCCUCUCGCGCUCGGACUGGAGACGAGGCCAGGUCUCCAGCAGGGGUGGACGGGCCAGUCAGUCUUAAAGGCCAGGACGUCAGUGCAAUGAAUCUACUUGAACGAUAUGACAUGGUCCGGUGGGACGGUGAGGGCAGAGGCGGGGCUGCCGUCCAGCUUUCCGGAACAACCUGGCUGGCACCGCGCGGGACGCUGCCACACCAACGUCUGUUCCUGGGCUUCUCCACAAGAGCUCACACACACACCCACGGCUGCUCUCUGGGCACACCCUUCCCCCCCUGAAACCCUCAAGAUGAAAAGACAUGGUGCUACCCAGCUCACGUCUGGGCCCUCGAACCCGGGGACUUCUUCAAGUCCGUCUAGCUCUGGAUCAAGAAAUAUGCUGCACUCAGGAAACAUGACACACGACACAACUUGCCUCAGGAAUCAACUCUUCAGGGUGAAGCCAAAGGAACAGACCGCGUGAACACCGUGGAAGAGCAGACCCACAGCAGCCACCCCCCACGGCCCCAUCUUCGUGGCCGACCCCCGCCCCGCCCAGGAGGGCGCCCCCCCCCCACGCGGCAUCCCGGCCCCGGGGUGCCGCCACCGCCUCCCUCCUCUCUUCUUCUUGUUCAGCCUUUCCUUUGUGUUCUUGUUUCUCGUCUUUCCUUCCUUCUUCACUUGAGAGACUCCAGGCGUCCACGACUCUGUUUCCCCACCCGUCCUUUCUCAGUUAAUUUGCACUAAGUCUUUUGCACUGGUUUGGAGUUCUGGAGACAGCCUCGAGUCUCUCCGCGCGAGUGUGUAGCGAGUGUGCGCGUGUGCGCGCGGGCCCCUUUGGCCCGCCUCUCCGUCCGUCCGUCCGUCCAUCCACGCAUCUCUGUGGGUGCCCGCGGGUGGGCUGUGUGCCUGGGGCCUCGACCCUCCCUCGCCGAGUCUGGACGCUCCACAACACCGGAGCUUCCUCCAAACAUUCCAUUACGCCCCACUUUGCCCCGGGCCCCUCCCCACCAGGCCUCACCAGAGGCCCUGGACUCAUCAAUAAACUCACAGUCACGGUC